UACGGAGGGGGCGAGCGUUAUUCGGAAUUAUUGGGCGUAAAGGGCGCGUAGGCGGCGCGGUAAGUCAAAGGUGAAAUCCCUCGGCUCAACUGAGGAACUGCCUUUGAUACUGUCGUGCUCGAGGCCGGGAGGGGGUAGCGGAAUUCCCAGUGUAGCGGUGAAAUGCGUAGAUAUUGGGAGGAACACCAGUGGCGAAGGCGGCUACCUGGACCGGUUCUGACGCUGAUGCGCGAAAGCGUGGGUAGCAAACAGG
Molecule: ribosomal RNA, 253 nt
Filed under: uncultured bacterium
Lineage: Bacteria
Description: partial 16S ribosomal RNA
Rfam family: Bacterial small subunit ribosomal RNA
Source: RNAcentral